CAGCAGUGGGGAAUAUUGGACAAUGGGCGAAAGCCUGAUCCAGCAAUGCCGCGUGGGUGAAGAAGGCCUGCGGAUUGUAAAGCCCUGUCGGUAGGGAGGAAAAGCUGGAGGUUAAUACCUUCCAGUGUUGACGUUACCUACAGAAGAAGCACCGGCUAACUCUGUG
Molecule: ribosomal RNA, 166 nt
Filed under: uncultured bacterium
Lineage: Bacteria
Description: partial 16S ribosomal RNA
Rfam family: Bacterial small subunit ribosomal RNA
Source: RNAcentral